Molecule: ribosomal RNA, 432 nt
Filed under: Triticum aestivum (bread wheat)
Lineage: Eukaryota; Viridiplantae; Streptophyta; Magnoliopsida; Poales; Poaceae
Description: partial small subunit ribosomal RNA
Source: RNAcentral
AAGAGGUGGCUUCCACCUCCAAGUGGUAUGGUAAAAUUGAAUGCAGAUGGGGCAGUGGCCAGGUCUAGGCAUGGAGGAGCUGCGGCAGCAAUUUGUCGGGAUCAUGACGGCAAUUACCUGGGAUCGUCAGCAGUGGUUUAUCAUGGAGUUACUAAUCCGAUGAUGCUCGAGACUUAUGCUUGUAGAGAAGCGUUGGCUUUGGCGGAAGAUCUCGCGACAAUGAAUAUAUGUGUGGCAUCGGAUUGCCAAGAAGAAAUAAUGCUUCGAUGUAAUAGUUUUAAUUCUUGCUCUUUUGUUCAUGAGCGUAGGAACCAUAAUUAUGAGGCUCAUAAUCUCGCCAAGUUUGCAUGUACUCUUGGACUAGGUAGACAUGUGUGGUUGGGCAAUCCUCAUGACCCAAACCUUGUACCUAUGUCGCUUAUCUCUGAAUGA